GACGAACGCUGGCGGCGUGCCUAACACAUGCAAGUCGAACGGAGAAUUAGCAAUAAUUCUUAGCGGCGAACGGGUGAGUAACGCGUAGACAACCUACCCUUUAGAUGGGGACAACACCGCGAAAGUGGUGCUAAUACCGAAUAUUGCUUGAGAAGCGCAUGCUUUUCAAACUAAAGAUGGCCUCUAUUUAUAAGCUAUCGCUAAAGAAUGGGUCUGCGUCUGAUUAGCUAGUUGGUGAGAUAAAAGCUCAACAAGGCAACGAUCAGUAGCCGGUCUGAGAGGAUGGACGGGCACACGGGGACUGAGACACGGCCCAGACUCCUACGGGAGGCAGCAGCGGGGAAUCUUCCGCAAUGGACGAAAGUCUGACGGAGCAACGCCGCGUGAGUGAUGAAGGUUUUCGGAUCGUAAAACUCUGUUGUUAAGGACGAAUGUAUAGAUUGUGAAUAAUGGUUUAUAAUGACGGUACUUAACGAGGAAGCCACGGCUAACUACGUGCCAGCCGCCGCAGUAA
RNAcentral lists this ribosomal RNA (514 nucleotides) under uncultured bacterium. RNAcentral's name for it is "partial 16S ribosomal RNA". It matches the Rfam family "Bacterial small subunit ribosomal RNA", at positions 28 to 523 of the family's 1533-position model. The record is from RNAcentral.